GAGUACGGUUGGAAAGAGCAUCAUCGGAGUUCCAAGAUCCGGCAGUAGGGUGGGCCACUUGGGCUAGUCGUCCUAUCUUCCCCGAAAAGGGAAAUUCGUGGGUGGAGAGCCCUCAGUCUGAUCACGAUUCCACUCUCGAAGGAUCCCUACCUCCACUCUACCAGAAGACCCUCGAGACUCGCAUUCGAGAGGACCUCCUAGAUCGAAGGCUCCAGGAGAUGAACC
Molecule: long non-coding RNA, 225 nt
Filed under: Elaeis guineensis (African oil palm)
Lineage: Eukaryota; Viridiplantae; Streptophyta; Magnoliopsida; Arecales; Arecaceae
Description: long non-coding RNA (EGUI_LNC021762)
Source: RNAcentral